This 472-nucleotide ribosomal RNA is filed under the name uncultured bacterium. Its description in RNAcentral is "bacterial SSU rRNA". It matches the Rfam family "Bacterial small subunit ribosomal RNA", at positions 8 to 478 of the family's 1533-position model. The record is from RNAcentral.
AGAGUUUGAUCCUGGCUCAGAUUGAACGCUGGCGGCGUGCUUAACACAUGCAAGUCGAGCGGUAACGCGGGGGCAACCCUGGCGACGAGCGGCGAACGGGUGAGUAAUGCUUCGGAAUCUUCCCAGUGGUGGGGAAUAACUUGGGGAAACUCAAGCUAAUACCGCAUACGACCUACGGGUGAAAGCGGGGGACCGCAAGGCCUCGCGCCAUUGGAUGAGCCGAAGUCGGAUUAGCUAGUUGGUGGGGUAAUGGCCUACCAAGGCGACGAUCCGUAGCUGGUCUGAGAGGACGACCAGCCACACUGGGACUGAGACACGGCCCAGACUCCUACGGGAGGCAGCAGUGGGGAAUAUUGGACAAUGGGGGCAACCCUGAUCCAGCGACGCCGCGUGUUGAAGAAGGCCUGCGGGUUGUAAAGCACUUUUAGUGGGGAUGAAAAGCCGAAGGCUAAUACCUUUCGGUCUGACCUAC